The submitters of this non-coding RNA (28 nucleotides) gave its source as unclassified sequences. The record is from Rfam.
UAACCUCUGGCGAAAAUCGUAAAUGUUA